AGCAAGUUGUCACAAAGGAACCUCAACUGCCUACAGCAGAAGGUCCUCAUACAGCAAGAGAGAGGAAGACAGGAGCCAACGAAAACAUGCAUUGCAGCAAAUAGGGGUGAGAAGAAACAGCAUGGGACUUCUACUGUAUAAGAACCAUGUCUCCUUCUCUACUGUGAGAAUAUACUUUGCUUUGAGGGGCAACCUUCAUGAAAAUGGAUCUCAAAGGGGAACUGGACUAUAAAAGUGAAGGGUAAAACUACCCCAAAUUAUCUCUCUCUAUCCAUCUCUCUCUUCACCUAAGAUGACAAAAGAAACAGCUGUUGGGAGCAGACCCUGGCCUGAGAGUUUGGUCACCAAUGUUACUUAAAAAAAGAGUAGGUUGCCCACUGCCAGCAGGUGCCAAAGAAGUGACAAAUGUAAUUCAAAGUCCAGUGGCCACAUCCUUCCAUGAGAACUGUGAAGUGGAUGCAUUCUGAUUUGGAGGAGGAGGAAACAAACAAACAAAGCCAAUACAUGAAAAACUAGCAGCUGUUAGAAAAGCCCAGCAGCUUCUCUGAACACAAUCUGGCAGCCUGAAGAGGAGGAGAGAAAACAUGGUUUUGAGAUGAGCCUGAUAACCCGAGAAAAAUUAAUAGGGUCCUGGCUUUUAGCAAAUGGUUUUAUGGUACAUAACAAUGGUGCAUGCAGAGUGGUUACCUCUUGAUGUUUCUGCCAGUCCUUCCAAAGCUGAGCAGAAGAUUGGCAGAAGACUGCAUCUCCUAGUGCAGUGGGAAAUAGCUACUAGAUUUUGUUAUCAUAUAAAAUGUAACAAUUUGUCUUUUUCUAUUAAAGAACAACAAAAAUUUAAGGCAAUUUUAAAAAAAAAGUCAAGAAUUUUGGGUUCUUUGUUGGCCAAUUUUAUACAUUCAAGAUCUGAUUUUCAAAAAAUUGUGAGUAUCCCACAACUCCAGUGGAAAACAGUAGGAGAUGCUGGUACUCUGAAAAGUCAAGCCUAAAUUGUCUCAGAUUGAGCUCCAAAACACAGAGGAACCCAAAAUUAGUGGAUCCUUUUGAAAAUGUUGGUCUUCAUCCUUGAAAGAACCAAAAGCCUUCAAAAUAUCAUGUGAAGAAAAGUAAGAGCUGAAGUAGUACAAUUCAACACUGGGAGCCAGACAUUUCUAUUUCUAUACACCUAUCACCAAAAAAUAAUGAUUUGGGUUUUUUUAAAUCAACCUCCUCCCCAUUGGCAGAGACCUUAUUUGAAUUUC
Mauremys reevesii (Reeves's turtle) is the source of this 1238-nucleotide long non-coding RNA. RefSeq lists it as uncharacterized. The record is from RefSeq and is a predicted model, not a curated record. The transcript has 4 exons. NCBI's taxonomy places the organism in Eukaryota, Metazoa, Chordata, Testudines, Geoemydidae.